GUGCCAGCAGCCGCGGUAAUACGUAGGGGGCAAGCGUUGUCCGGAAUUACUGGGCGUAAAGCGCGUGUAGGCGGGACGACAAGUCUGGCGUGAAAGGCUGGGGCUCAACCCCAGAUCGCCGCUGGAAACUGUCGUUCUUGAGGGUCGAAGAGGAGAGUGGAAUUCCUGGUGUAGCGGUGAAAUGCGUAGAGAUCAGGAGGAACACCCGUGGCGAAGGCGGCUCUCUGGUCGACAUCUGACGCUGAGACGCGAAAGCGUGGGGAGCGAACGGGAUUAGAUACCCUGGUAGUCC
This 292-nucleotide ribosomal RNA is filed under the name uncultured bacterium. RNAcentral's name for it is "partial 16S ribosomal RNA". It matches the Rfam family "Bacterial small subunit ribosomal RNA", at positions 505 to 796 of the family's 1533-position model. The record is from RNAcentral.